Molecule: ribosomal RNA, 76 nt
Filed under: Photorhabdus cinerea
Lineage: Bacteria; Pseudomonadati; Pseudomonadota; Gammaproteobacteria; Enterobacterales; Morganellaceae
Description: partial 16S ribosomal RNA
Rfam family: Bacterial small subunit ribosomal RNA
Source: RNAcentral
UUUGUGACUCAUGACUGGGGUGAAGUCGUAACAAGGUAACCGUAGGGGAACCUGCGGUUGGAUCACCUCCUUACCU